GAUGAACGCUGGCGGCGUGCUUAACACAUGCAAGUCGAACGGAAAGGCUCCUGCUUGCAGGGGUACUCGAGUGGCGAACGGGUGAGUAACACGUGGGUGAUCUGCCCUGCACUUCGGGAUAAGCCUGGGAAACUGGGUCUAAUACCGGAUAGGACCACAUUUUGGAUGGUGUGGUGGAAAGUUUUUCGGUGUGGGAUGAGCUCGCGGCCUAUCAGCUUGUUGGUGGGGUAAUGGCCUACCAAGGCGUCGACGGGUAGCCGGCCUGAGAGGGUGUACGGCCACAUUGGGACUGAGAUACGGCCCAGACUCCUACGGGAGGCAGCAGUGGGGAAUAUUGCACAAUGGGCGCAAGCCUGAUGCAGCGGCGCCGCGUGGGGGAUGACGGCCUUCGGGUUGUAAACUCCUUUCGCUAGGGACGAAGCGCAAGUGACGGUACCUGGAGAAGAAGCACCGGCUAACUACGUG
This 465-nucleotide ribosomal RNA is filed under the name uncultured bacterium. RNAcentral's name for it is "partial 16S ribosomal RNA". It matches the Rfam family "Bacterial small subunit ribosomal RNA", at positions 28 to 507 of the family's 1533-position model. The record is from RNAcentral.